Molecule: ribosomal RNA, 487 nt
Filed under: uncultured bacterium
Lineage: Bacteria
Description: bacterial SSU rRNA
Rfam family: Bacterial small subunit ribosomal RNA
Source: RNAcentral
GAUGAACGCUAGCGACAGGCCUAACACAUGCAAGUCGAGGGGCAGCACAAUGGUAGCAAUACUAUGGUGGCGACCGGCGCACGGGUGAGUAACACGUAUGCAACCUACCUGUAAGCGGGGAAUAACCCGGAGAAAUUCGGACUAAUACCGCAUAACACUGAAUUACUGCAUGGUAAUUCAUUUAAACAUUUAUGGCUUACAGAUGGGCAUGCGUAUGAUUAGCUAGUAGGUGAGGUAACGGCUCACCUAGGCAACGAUCAUUAGGGGUUCUGAGAGGAAGGUCCCCCACACUGGUACUGAGACACGGACCAGACUCCUACGGGAGGCAGCAGUGAGGAAUAUUGGUCAAUGGGCGAGAGCCUGAACCAGCCAAGUCGCGUGAAGGAAGAAGGUUCUAUGGAUUGUAAACUUCUUUUGUAAGGGAAUAAAAAAGGCUACGAGUAGUCUAUUGUAUGUACUUUACGAAUAAGGAUCGGCUAACUCCGUG